AGAGUUUGAUCCUGGCUCAGGAUAAACGCUGGCGGCGUGCCUAACACAUGCAGGUCGCACGUCCUCUUCUUUCUUCGGAGGGAAGAGGGAGUGGCGGACGGGUGAGUAACACGUGGGAACCUACCCACAGGUGAGGAAUACCACCGGGAAACCGGUGACAAAACCGCAUACGCUCUCUCGCAAGAGAGAGCAAAGCUCCGCAAGGGGCGCCUGAGGAUGGGCCUGCGGCCGAUUAGCUAGCUGGUGGGGUAAGGGCCUACCAGGGCGACGAUCGGUAGCUGGUCUGAGAGGACGAGCAGCCACACUGGGAUUGAGAACGGCCCAGACUCCUACGGGGGGCAGCAGUGAGGAAUUUUCGGCAAUGGGCGCAAGCCUGACCGAGCAACGCCGCGUGCAGGAAGACGGCCUUCGGGUUGUAAACUGCUUUUGUCGGGGACGAGCAAGGACGGUACCCGACCAACAAGCUCCGGCUAACUACGUGCCAGCAGCCGCGGUAAUACGUAGGGAGCAAGCGUUGUCCGGAGUAACUGGGCGUAAAGCGCACGCAGGCGGUCAUUCGCGUUGGCGCUGACAGCCGUGGGCCUAACUCACGGAGGGGUGUCAAAACGGGAUGACUUGAGACUUAGAGAGGCAGACGGAAUUCCGCGUGGAGCGGUGAAAUGCGUAGAGAUGCGGAAGAACACCAAAGGCGAAGGCAGUCUGCUGGCUAAGCUCUGACGCUCAGGUGCGAAAGCCAGGGGAGCGAACAGGAUUAGAUACCCUGGUAGUCCUGGCAGUAAACGAUGACCACUAGAUAUGCGGGGUAUCGACCCCCUGCGUGUCGCAGCCAACGCGAUAAGUGGUCCGCCUGGGGAGUACGGUCGCAAGAUUAAAACUCAAAGGAAUUGACGGGGACCCGCACAAGCAGCGGAGCGUGUGGUUUAAUUCGAUGUAACGCGAAGAACCUUACCAGGGCUUGACAUGCUCUCGCACCAUCUGGAGACAGGUGUACCCUUCGGGGACGGGAGCACAGGUGCUGCAUGGCUGUCGUCAGCUCGUGCCGUGAGGUGUUGGGUUAAGUCCCGCAACGAGCGCAACCCCUGUCCUCGGUUGGGAUAUCCGAGGAGACUGCCGCGAUCAACGUGGAGGAAGGUGGGGAUGAUGUCAAGUCAGCACGGCCCUUACGUCCUGGGCGACACACACGCUACAAUGGCGUCGACAACGAGUUGCCAACCCGCGAGGGGGAGCCAAUCUCAGCAAACGGCGUCUCAGUUCGGAUUGCAGGCUGCAACCCGCCUGCAUGAAGUGGGAGUUGCUAGUAACCGUGAGUCAGCACAUCACGGUGAAUACGUUCCCGGGUCUUGUACACACCGCCCAUCACACCACGAAAGUCGGUCACACCUGAAGCCCUCGGGCUAACCCAUCUGGGAGGCAGAGGUCGAGGGUGGGGCUGGUGAUUGGGGUGAAGUCGUAACAAGGUAACC
Molecule: ribosomal RNA, 1463 nt
Filed under: uncultured bacterium
Lineage: Bacteria
Description: bacterial SSU rRNA
Rfam family: Bacterial small subunit ribosomal RNA
Source: RNAcentral